RNAcentral lists this ribosomal RNA (112 nucleotides) under uncultured bacterium. RNAcentral describes it as "partial 16S ribosomal RNA". It matches the Rfam family "Bacterial small subunit ribosomal RNA", at positions 1373 to 1482 of the family's 1533-position model. The record is from RNAcentral.
CCCGGGCCUUGUACACACCGCCCGUCAAGUCAUGAAAGUCGGUAACACCCGAAGCCGGUGGCCCAACCUCUUGAGGAGGGAGCCGUCGAAGGUGGGACUGGCGAUUAGGACU